RNAcentral lists this small nucleolar RNA (74 nucleotides) under Catagonus wagneri (Chacoan peccary). Its description in RNAcentral is "Small nucleolar RNA SNORD113/SNORD114 family (ENSCWAG00000005087.1)". It matches the Rfam family "Small nucleolar RNA SNORD113/SNORD114 family". Rfam says of the family: The imprinted human domain at 14q32 contains two clusters of tandemly repeated small nucleolar RNAs named 14q(I) and 14q(II) snoRNAs. The record is from Rfam by way of RNAcentral. Lineage: Eukaryota; Metazoa; Chordata; Mammalia; Artiodactyla; Tayassuidae.
UGGAUCGGUGAUGAGGGCUGGUGGAGUACGAGUCAGGAACCAUGGCUACUUCAUGUCUGGAGUCUGAGGCCCAA